This 425-nucleotide ribosomal RNA is filed under the name uncultured bacterium. RNAcentral's name for it is "bacterial SSU rRNA". It matches the Rfam family "Bacterial small subunit ribosomal RNA", at positions 356 to 773 of the family's 1533-position model. The record is from RNAcentral.
AGGGAAUCUUCCACAAUGGACGAAAGUCUGAUGGAGCAAUGCCGCGUGAGCGAAGAAGGUUUUCGGAUCGUAAAGCUCUGUUGUGAGGGAAGAACAAGUACGGGAGUAACUGUCCGUACCUUGACGGUACCUCAUUAGAAAGCCACGGCUAACUACGUGCCAGCAGCCGCGGUAAUACGUAGGUGGCAAGCGUUGUCCGGAAUUAUUGGGCGUAAAGCGCGCGCAGGCGGCCUUUUAAGUCUGAUGUGAAAGCCCACGGCUCAACCGUGGAAGGUCAUUGGAAACUGAAAGGCUUGAGUACAGAAGAGGAAAGCGGAAUUCCACGUGUAGCGGUGAAAUGCGUAGAGAUGUGGAGGAACACCAGUGGCGAAGGCGGCUUUCUGGUCUGUAACUGACGCUGAGGCGCGAAAGCGUGGGGAGCAAAC